AUUGAACGCUGGCGGCAUGCUUUACACAUGCAAGUCGAACGGUAACAGGGAGCUUGCUCCGCUGACGAGUGGCGAACGGGUGAGUAAUGCAUCGGAACGUACCCAGUCGUGGGGGAUAACGUAGCGAAAGUUACGCUAAUACCGCAUACGUCCUGAGGGAGAAAGCGGGGGACCGAAAGGCCUCGCGCGAUUGGAGCGGCCGAUGUCGGAUUAGCUAGUUGGUAGGGUAAAGGCCUACCAAGGCGACGAUCCGUAGCGGGUCUGAGAGGAUGAUCCGCCACACUGGGACUGAGACACGGCCCAGACUCCUACGGGAGGCAGCAGUGGGGAAUUUUGGACAAUGGGCGCAAGCCUGAUCCAGCCAUGCCGCGUGAGUGAAGAAGGCCUU
Molecule: ribosomal RNA, 388 nt
Filed under: uncultured bacterium
Lineage: Bacteria
Also listed under: 1 other name
Description: bacterial SSU rRNA
Rfam family: Bacterial small subunit ribosomal RNA
Source: RNAcentral